Fukomys damarensis (Damara mole-rat) is the source of this 366-nucleotide long non-coding RNA. RefSeq lists it as uncharacterized. The record is from RefSeq and is a predicted model, not a curated record. NCBI's taxonomy places the organism in Eukaryota, Metazoa, Chordata, Mammalia, Rodentia, Bathyergidae. The transcript has 3 exons.
UUUUCUCACUUAAAAACGAGGAAAACCAUCAGCUUGGAGUGAAUGGUGAAGAGGAAGCAUAGGAAAUUUGAAAUGAAUCAGAAGGGAGAAGACAAAGCAGCAGAUCCUGUCAGAAGAAAAGCAUCACAGCUGAGAAUGAUCUGAAGUUGUCCAGUGAGGAAAGAUCCUGAUUCCACAGCCACUCCAGAGAAGAGAACUUAUCUGAGGGAUACAGAUAAUGACACACCCCCCACUCCUUGGAAUUUUUGAGCAACAUGAAGAACCUACCACACUGUACCAACACCUGGUAGCCACUGUUGCUUUGGUGCUGCUUGUUUAUAUUUAUCUUCUGUGCUUUAAUUGUUCGAUAACUUUUCUUCUUUCUUC